AGAAAAUAUCGUGGUAGAAGAGAUACUACCCAAAAGCUUGACCCCUAUUAUCAUGAAGAGAAAAAUCUCCGUAAUGAGCAAGAGAAAGCUCGCAAGGAAAAGGAACUUGCUAAAAAGCAUUUCAAACCUAGAAUGAUCGUUCAUCCACGUUUUCAAAAUUUGACAGCGGAUGAAGCAAUGGAGUUCCUUUCAGAGAAGGAUUCUGGCGAGAGUAUUAUCCGCCCAAGUUCUAAAGGCCCUUCAUUUUUGACAUUAACUCUGAAAGUUUAUGACGGUGUCUAUGCCCACAAAGACAUCGUCGAGGGUGGAA
Molecule: unclassified non-coding RNA, 310 nt
Filed under: Hevea brasiliensis (rubber tree)
Lineage: Eukaryota; Viridiplantae; Streptophyta; Magnoliopsida; Malpighiales; Euphorbiaceae
Source: RNAcentral